UUAGUUGAAGCCAAAAUAGAGGCAACUUAUUGUUAAUAAGUUUACUGACCAAUAAGUCCGACUAAA
This 66-nucleotide transfer RNA is filed under the name Acanthaspis pedestris. RNAcentral's name for it is "tRNA-Asn". The record is from RNAcentral. Lineage: Eukaryota; Metazoa; Arthropoda; Insecta; Hemiptera; Reduviidae.